CCUUCGCUCAACAGAUCGCUGUCGAAGCUUACACACAGAAAUGUUUCGCUCGAAGCAUUUCUUCCUCUAGCUUUGGGAGAAAGUCCCCGGACACCUUUUCUUUCCCUCGCGGAAAGGAGAGAAUGCGGAAACGCGCCGCCAUAAAAGCACUGCGGCUGACUUCGGUGCCUUGGCCACCUCUGGCAACGACCAUGCCCGGCCUUCCGCUACAUUCGCUCUGCCUCGAAGCCAAUGUGUCUCCUCGGCUUCCACAGCCGCCGCCCGAACCAUCAGGACGAAGAUAUGAGUCCGAGUCGGGUGCGGCGUCGGGACCGAACGUGCGCUUGGCAGAAAGCAGGCGGAUGGUAGGUUGACGCUUAUGGCCUUGCUGUUGUGGUUGCGGGCGCAGAGGAUAUUUGUCGAGAUCGAUAGUUAUGCGAUUGCCGGGCUUCACGUCUUGGUUACUCGAUGGGGCUCAUUCUUGAGGCGAAG
Molecule: RNase MRP RNA, 471 nt
Filed under: Cordyceps militaris CM01
Lineage: Eukaryota; Fungi; Ascomycota; Sordariomycetes; Hypocreales; Cordycipitaceae
Description: RNase MRP
Rfam family: RNase MRP
About the family: RNase MRP is an enzymatically active ribonucleoprotein with two distinct roles in eukaryotes. In mitochondria it plays a direct role in the initiation of mitochondrial DNA replication. In the nucleus it is involved in precursor rRNA processing, where it cleaves the internal transcribed spacer 1 between 18S and 5.8S rRNAs.
Source: Rfam by way of RNAcentral